This 467-nucleotide ribosomal RNA is filed under the name uncultured bacterium. RNAcentral describes it as "partial 16S ribosomal RNA". It matches the Rfam family "Bacterial small subunit ribosomal RNA", at positions 28 to 506 of the family's 1533-position model. The record is from RNAcentral.
GACGAACGCUGGCGGCGUGCUUAACACAUGCAAGUCGAACGGAAAGGCCCUGCUUUUGUGGGGUGCUCGAGUGGCGAACGGGUGAGUAACACGUGAGUAACCUGCCCUUGACUUUGGGAUAACUUCAGGAAACUGGGGCUAAUACCGGAUAGGAGCUCCUGCUGCAUGGUGGGGGUUGGAAAGUUUCGGCGGUUGGGGAUGGACUCGCGGCUUAUCAGCUUGUUGGUGGGGUAGUGGCUUACCAAGGCUUUGACGGGUAGCCGGCCUGAGAGGGUGACCGGCCACAUGGGGACGGAGAUACGGCCCAGACUCCUACGGGAGGCAGCAGUGGGGAAUAUUGCACAAUGGGCGGAAGCCUGAUGCAGCAACGCCGGGUGCGGGAUGACGGCCUUCGGGUGGUAAACCGCUUUCGCCUGUGACGAAGCGUGAGUGACGGUAAUGGGUAAAGAAGCACCGGCUAACUACGU